UGGAAUGUUUAUGUGAAAAAUGAAGCACAAUACAGUUCACAUAGAUUGGAUCUAAAGAAAGUGAAGUUUCAUGUUGUUACAUUUCCAGCAUUAAGUUUCUAUUUAAAGGAUAUUAAGGUAUUUAAAUGAGUUUAAAUUAUGCCAGAAUUCAAAGAUAAACUAUGAUUAUGUUUUUUUAAAUGACCAAAAAAAUGUGAUUCAUUUCAAUUUGCUCAGAGGUUUAGUACUAACUUAUUAGAUGAGAAAAGAAAUGGAAUAAUAGAAAAGAUGCAGUUCAUGUUGGAAAAUAGUUUAUUUAAAACCAUUUAUUUUUAAAACCUGGUUAUUG
RNAcentral lists this long non-coding RNA (328 nucleotides) under Bos taurus (domestic cattle). Its description in RNAcentral is "long non-coding RNA NONBTAT019402". The record is from RNAcentral. Lineage: Eukaryota; Metazoa; Chordata; Mammalia; Artiodactyla; Bovidae.